UGCGGGGUAGAGCAGUUUGGUAGCUCGUGAGGCUCAUAAUCUCAAGGCCAUAGGUUCAAAUCCUAUCCCCGCAA
RNAcentral lists this transfer RNA (74 nucleotides) under Chlorodesmis fastigiata. RNAcentral describes it as "tRNA-Met". It matches the Rfam family "tRNA". From Rfam's summary of the family: Transfer RNA (tRNA) molecules are approximately 80 nucleotides in length. Their secondary structure includes four short double-helical elements and three loops (D, anti-codon, and T loops). Further hydrogen bonds mediate the characteristic L-shaped molecular structure. tRNAs have two regions of fundamental functional importance: the anti-codon, which is responsible for specific mRNA codon recognition, and the 3' end, to which the tRNAs corresponding amino acid is attached (by aminoacyl-tRNA synthetases). tRNAs cope with the degeneracy of the genetic code in two manners: having more than one tRNA (with a specific anti-codon) for a particular amino acid; and 'wobble' base-pairing, i.e. permitting non-standard base-pairing at the 3rd anti-codon position. Lineage: Eukaryota; Viridiplantae; Chlorophyta; Ulvophyceae; Bryopsidales; Halimedaceae. The record is from RNAcentral.